AACGAACGCUGGCGGCAUGCCUAACACAUGCAAGUCGAACGAGACCUUCGGGUCUAGUGGCGCACGGGUGCGUAACGCGUGGGAACCUGCCCUUAGGUUCGGAAUAACUCCCCGCAAGGGGUGCUAAUACCGGAUAAUGUCUUCGGACCAAAGAUUUCUCGCCUUUGGAUGGGCCCGCGUUGGAUUAGCUAGUUGGUAGAGUAAAAGCCUACCAAGGCGACGAUCCGUAGCUGGUCUGAGAGGAUGAUCAGCCACACUGGGACUGAGACACGGCCCAGACUCCUACGGGAAGAAGCAGUGGGGAAUAUUGGAAAAUGGGCGAAAGCGGGAUCCAGCAAUGCCGCGUGAGUGAUGAAGGCCUUAGGGUUGUAAAGCUCUUUUAGCCGGGAUGAUAAUGACAGUACCGGGAGAAUAAGCUCCGGCUAACUCCGUG
Molecule: ribosomal RNA, 433 nt
Filed under: uncultured bacterium
Lineage: Bacteria
Description: partial 16S ribosomal RNA
Rfam family: Bacterial small subunit ribosomal RNA
Source: RNAcentral